RNAcentral lists this ribosomal RNA (299 nucleotides) under uncultured bacterium. Its description in RNAcentral is "partial 16S ribosomal RNA". It matches the Rfam family "Bacterial small subunit ribosomal RNA", at positions 28 to 333 of the family's 1533-position model. The record is from RNAcentral.
GACGAACGCUGGCGGCGUGCUUAACACAUGCAAGUCGAACGAUGAAGCCCUUCGGGGUGGAUUAGUGGCGAACGGGUGAGUAACACGUGGGCAAUCUGCCCUGUACUUUGGGAUAAGCCUGGGAAACUGGGUCUAAUACCGAAUAUGACAUGUCGCCGCAUGGUGGUGUGUGGAAAGUUUUAUGGUACAGGAUGAGCCCGCGGCCUAUCAGCUUGUUGGUGGGGUAAUGGCCUACCAAGGCGACGACGGGUAGCCGGCCUGAGAGGGCGACCGCCACACUGGGACUGAGACACGGCCCA